This 465-nucleotide ribosomal RNA is filed under the name uncultured bacterium. Its description in RNAcentral is "bacterial SSU rRNA". It matches the Rfam family "Bacterial small subunit ribosomal RNA", at positions 338 to 795 of the family's 1533-position model. The record is from RNAcentral.
CCUACGGGAUGCAGCAGUGGGGAAUAUUGCACAAUGGGCGCAAGCCUGAUGCAGCCAUGCCGCGUGUAUGAAAAUGGCCUUCGGGUUGUAAAGUACUUUCAGCGGGGAGGAAGGUGUUGAGGUUAAUAACCUCAGCAAUUGACGUUACCCGCAGAAGAGGCACCGGCUAACUCCGUGCCAGCAGCCGCGGUAAUACGGAGGGUGCAAGCGUUAAUCGGAAUUACUGGGCGUAAAGCGCACGCAGGCGGUCUGUCAAGUCGGAUGUGAAAUCCCCGGGCUCAACCUGGGAACUGCAUUCGAAACUGGCAGGCUAGAGUUUUGUAGAGGGGGGUAGAAUUCUAGGUGUAGCGGUGAAAUGCGUAGAGAUCUGGAGGAAUACCGGUGGCGAAGGCGGCCCCCUGGACAAAGACUGACGCUCAGGUGCGAAAGCGUGGGGAGCAAACAGGAUUAGAUACCCGGGUAGUC